This 785-nucleotide non-coding RNA is filed under the name Diachrysia nadeja. The record is from RNAcentral. Lineage: Eukaryota; Metazoa; Arthropoda; Insecta; Lepidoptera; Noctuidae.
AAUAAAUUUUUUAUGGUUUAAAAAUUUUAUUAAUAAUUUAUUUUACAUAUAAAUUUUAGUGUUAUAUUUAUUUUAUUUUAAUAAUAAAUUAUAUAAUUAAUGUAGUAAUUAAUAUUAAAUAUUUAAGAAAUUAAGAUUUAGUGAUAUUAAAAUUAAUAACAAAUUUUGUGCCAGCAGUUGCGGUUACACAAAGAUUAAAUUGAAUUUUAUUAGUAAUUAAUAAAUAAUUUAAAAUAAAAUAAUAAAAAUUUUAAAUUAUUAGGUGAAAUUUUAAUUUAAUAAAAUAUUAUUUAAUUAAUUAUGAUUUAAUAAAUUUUAUAAAAAACUAGGAUUAGAUACCCUAUUAUAAAAAAUUAAAAUUAAUUUUACUAAAAAAGUAAAUAAUUAUUUAUUGAAACUUAAAUAAUUUGGCGGUAUUUUAGUUCAUUUAGAGGAAUCUGUUUAAUAAUUGAUAAUCCACGAAUAAAUUUACUUAAUUUAUAAUUUUGUAUAUCGUUGUUAAAAAAAUAUUUUUUAAUAAAAAUAAUAUUUAAAAAUUUUUAUUAUAAAUUAAAUCAGAUCAAGAUGCAGAUUAUAAUUAAGAAUAUAAUGGAUUACAAUAAAUUUAUUUAAAUGAAUAUUAAUUUGUAAAAAUUAAUUGAAAGUGGAUUUAAGUGUAAUUUUAUUUAUUUUAAUAAAAUGAUUAAAAAUUAAAAUAUGUACAUAUUGCCCGUCGCUUUCAUAUAAUAAUAAAUUGAAAUAAGUCGUAACAAAGUAGGGGUACUGGAAAGUGUUCCUAGAAAGAA